RNAcentral lists this long non-coding RNA (741 nucleotides) under Selaginella moellendorffii. RNAcentral describes it as "long non-coding RNA (SMOE_LNC001739)". Lineage: Eukaryota; Viridiplantae; Streptophyta; Lycopodiopsida; Selaginellales; Selaginellaceae. The record is from RNAcentral.
AUGUAAGUAACAUUUAGCAUACUUUUAUUAGACUACUAUAGCAAAUUGGAUUAAAAUGUUUUUUGAGUUGAUCGUAAUCGUGAUGAGUCCAAACUUAUUGUAGGAAAUGACCAAGUUGGACAACGAACGACUAGCCUUGUAAGCAGUAUAUGAAUGAAUGAAUGCCAGAACGAGUAUUUCCAUUGAGUUAAGUAAACAAGGGUCCAACGUUUCCACAGUGCGGCCUGAUUUUUCUUUUUUCCCUUGGAUUUGACUGUAGAGAAGCUGUGAGAGCCGGAUUGUGUGCACCAAAUGGAAAGGAUUCCAUUUUGUUUUUGCUUAUUCCUCGUCCUACUUCCUCUGGAUAGACGCACACUGCUCAUAACAUGGCUCCAGAGCACAAAACACUAACGGUUAGGAAGCUAUAAAACAACAGGAAAAGCUUCGCUCAGAAUAUAAACCGGGUUCUGAAGAGACAAUGUACAAGCAGAAAAAAAUGCAUAGAGCAACUUACUUGGUCCUCCUCCUCAGCUUUGUUCCCGGUAUUCUUUCUGUCAAGGAGCCACAGAAUUCCUCAUGCCGCUGCCUCGCAUUUGAUCACGAUUGCUGGCCAUCUUCUCGAGUCUGGAACAGCUUCAACACGUCAGUGGAGGGACGGUUGAUGAGAGUCUUACCUCCGGCUGCUCCUUGCCACGACCCCUUCUUUGACGAACAAGGCUGCAAAGAAGUCCAAGAAAGCUGGGAGCUGGAAUUCUGGAGAAC